RNAcentral lists this ribosomal RNA (299 nucleotides) under uncultured Lactococcus sp. Its description in RNAcentral is "partial 16S ribosomal RNA". It matches the Rfam family "Bacterial small subunit ribosomal RNA", at positions 72 to 355 of the family's 1533-position model. Lineage: Bacteria; Bacillati; Bacillota; Bacilli; Lactobacillales; Streptococcaceae. The record is from RNAcentral.
AUUCCUUCGGGUAGUGAUUUGUUGGACGCUAGCGGCGGAUGGGUGAGUAACACGUGGGCAAUCUGCCCUAAAGACUGGGAUACCACUUGGAAACAGGUGCUAAUACCGGAUAACAACAUGAAUCGCAUGAUUCAAGUUUGAAAGGCGGCGCAAGCUGUCACUUUAGGAUGAGCCCGCGGCGCAUUAGCUAGUUGGUGGGGUAAAGGCCUACCAAGGCAAUGAUGCGUAGCCGAGUUGAGAGACUGAUCGGCCACAUUGGGACUGAGACACGGCCCAAACUCCUACGGGAGGCAGCAGUA